Long non-coding RNA from Ananas comosus (pineapple), 174 nucleotides. RefSeq lists it as uncharacterized. The transcript is spliced from 3 exons. NCBI's taxonomy places the organism in Eukaryota, Viridiplantae, Streptophyta, Magnoliopsida, Poales, Bromeliaceae. The record is from RefSeq and is a predicted model, not a curated record.
CUUGGAUUGGCGCUUCUUAGAGGGCCUUUGAGGCUAGAUUGAUUGGUUUAGAACCUUCCUUGGGCUUGGAUUGGAAGGGAUUUAGCUCUCAUUUGGAGCUUGAGAGAGUUUUUCCACGCGUUGGGGUAUUUUGAGACUCGGGGACAACUUUGUUCGGCGAAACGAGACCCUACG